RNAcentral lists this long non-coding RNA (935 nucleotides) under Anas platyrhynchos platyrhynchos (common mallard). RNAcentral describes it as "lncRNA (ENSAPLG00000029616.1)". Lineage: Eukaryota; Metazoa; Chordata; Aves; Anseriformes; Anatidae. The record is from RNAcentral.
CUGUUUUGUUCAUGUGUUUUCAGACAGCAAAGAACUUCCUUCUGGAAUUUACAACGUAAAACCUCUCAAUAAAUACUAUUUCAUUGAUUAUAGUCUGGAGCAUUUCCAGCCCCUCCUGAGCUUACUUUCUAGAAAAUCUAUGUAAGUACUCCACAGCAAAGCUGAUGAGUUAUUGCAAGCCAAAUUGAUCUUCUCCUUAAAUCAAGGCAUGUAAGUUGUCCAAAAGCAUGAUAGGAAGAGUUUAAGUGCCAAACUGGAGUGGUGCAAGUAGCUAAAAGGAGUUGUGGAGAAAAGACAUUGGUAGUUUCUAGAUAGCAUCUCUUAAAAGGUGGGAGAUUAGCCCUGGUAUUGAGUACUUGAGAGGGAGAAUUCAUCUCAGGAUCCUGGCAGAACAGGCAAAUAGAAGUUGAACUGCAUAUUGCCAUUUCUGGCAAAGGACUGAUAGGAAAAUAGGUUAUUGAGCAUGGCACCUUUAUUUGCUGUUAUUGUAUUCUUCAUACUUGUAGAACUCCAAAGAGCCAGACGUGGCAGUUUUCUGGAGCACUGGAGGGUUCCACAGGAGCUGCCCCCAGAUGCCUUCUGUAUUGCCUGGACCUGGUGCUUCCAGCUGUCAGCUCUGGAGCUGAUAUAGCAGCCCUGUGUUUGAGCAGCUGCAGCCCUGGGAAAGUUGUCUUACAGAGUGAAAGGACACCCAGGCUUCUGGCAGAACUGCCAGGUGGCCUCACAGGAGAUACCUACGUGGACAUAGGACAUCAGUUCUGGGAACAGCUGUUGGUGACUCCUGUUUUCCUGGAAGGAGCCCAACAAGCUUCAGAUGACGGCUGUGGAUGUGUUUCAGGUAGAGCUGCUUGGCAGGAGGUACAGUUAGACUAAAACUAGAUGCCAACCUCAUCAAAUAGAAUAAAAAGAAAAAAAUGAGUUUGAAAAAGAAAGAA